GAUGAACGCUGGCGGCAUGCCUAAUACAUGCAAGUCGUGCGAGAAACCACCUUCGGGUGGCGGGAAGCGGCGGACGGGUGAGUAACGCGUAGAAACAUACCCCAAGGUGAGGGAUAAGCAUCGGAAACGGUAUCUAAUACCGCAUACUGUCUACGGACAAAAGAUUUAUCGCCAUGGGAAUGGUCUGCGUCUGAUUAGCU
This 200-nucleotide ribosomal RNA is filed under the name uncultured bacterium. RNAcentral describes it as "partial 16S ribosomal RNA". It matches the Rfam family "Bacterial small subunit ribosomal RNA", at positions 28 to 246 of the family's 1533-position model. The record is from RNAcentral.